AUGAGAACAGCGGCCGCGGCUGGACGCCGUGAGCUCGGGAGCAGCUCGUUGACAUGGUCCAAGCGGACUCCAGCGCAGUUGGGAACGACCAAGGCAAGGAGGAUCAAGAUCUGGAUGGCACGCCUCACCCUCGGCUACCUCUUCCACCUCCCCGUCGACUGCCACUUAUCACGGAGGAGGAAGGGAUGGAGAGAUAUGGCGGCUGCGACUGGAGCUGGCGGAUGCCAGAUAGAGGUCCACCCUGUUCCCGGCCUCCCGCGUCCCGCCCCGGUACAGGGGCAACAGCAAGGUGAAGAUCGUCAUGCCCGGGCUUGGGCUCGGUGA
Molecule: ribosomal RNA, 324 nt
Filed under: Triticum aestivum (bread wheat)
Lineage: Eukaryota; Viridiplantae; Streptophyta; Magnoliopsida; Poales; Poaceae
Description: partial small subunit ribosomal RNA
Source: RNAcentral